This 587-nucleotide long non-coding RNA is filed under the name Dromaius novaehollandiae (emu). RNAcentral describes it as "lncRNA (ENSDNVG00000016232.1)". Lineage: Eukaryota; Metazoa; Chordata; Aves; Casuariiformes; Dromaiidae. The record is from RNAcentral.
CCUUCCCGGCGGCUCCUCGCGGAGACAACCGGAGCGGCGGCCGUAAAUCACGGAGACGCGCAGCGGAGGGAUAAAGAGCGAGGAAGAAAUCUGUGGUGCCUGAAGAAAGGAGAAUAAAAAGAGCCAGACUAGGGAAAAAACCACGGAGCUGGCGUUCGCCUCGAAGCGAUGCGAGGUAAAUAGAGGCAUGAGUGAAGCGACACCCUGACCCUGCCUUUUCUUCCCUAAAUAUGAUCCCCCUCUUCCCUAAAUAUCAUCCCCUCUUCCCACCCUACGCACGCCACGAAAUGACCGUUAAUUCAAACCCUUUCUUUAAAGACAGGGGGAUUAUCGCUGCCUGUGACCGACUCUCCCUGCGCCUCUUUCUCUCUUCCACCGGACCAAAAUCAGAAUCGCGGUUGAAAAAGGGAAGAAAGGAAGGAAGGGGAAGGAGCGGAUGGUUAUUAUUUGUGCCUGUGCGGGGUGAUGGUACCGCUGCAGGAGCGUCUGUGAGGCCUCGCGAAGAGGCGAUACCUGCCGGUUCUUCCUUCCCUCCUCCCCAUCAGGUACAUCAUGGCUCAUACUUCGUACCGUCAUAUAACACAUAA